CUGCUUUGCUGACGAGUGGCGGACGGGUGAGUAAUGUCUGGGAAACUGCCUGAUGGAGGGGGAUAACUACUGGAAACGGUGGCUAAUACCGCAUAACGUCGCAAGACCAAAGAGGGGGACCUUCGGGCCUCUUGCCAUCAGAUGUGCCCAGAUGGGAUUAGCUAGUUGGUGAGGUAACGGCUCACCAAGGCGACGAUCCCUAGCUGGUCUGAGAGGAUGACCAGCCACACUGGAACUGAGACACGGUCCAGACUCCUACGGGAGGCAGCAGUGGGGAAUAUUGCACAAUGGGCGCAAGCCUGAUGCAGCCAUGCCGCGUGUAUGAAGAAGGCCUUCGGGUUGUAAAGUACUUUCAGCGGGGAGGAAGGUGUUGUGGUUAAUAACCACAGCAAUUGACGUUACCCGCAGAAGAAGCACCGGCUAACUCCGUGCCAGCAGCCGCGGUAAUACGGAGGGUGCAAGCGUUAAUCGGAAUUACUGGGCGUAAAGCGCACGCAGGCGGUCUGUCAAGUCGGAUGUGAAAUCCCCGGGCUCAACCUGGGAACUGCAUUCGAAACUGGCAGGCUUGAGUCUUGUAGAGGGGGGUAGAAUUCCAGGUGUAGCGGUGAAAUGCGUAGAGAUCUGGAGGAAUACCGGUGGCGAAGGCGGCCCCCUGGACAAAGACUGACGCUCAGGUGCGAAAGCGUGGGGAGCAAACAGGAUUAGAUACCCUGGUAGUCCACGCCGUAAACGAUGUCUACUUGGAGGUUGUGCCCUUGAGGCGUGGCUUCCGGAGCUAACGCGUUAAGUAGACCGCCUGGGGAGUACGGCCGCAAGGUUAAAACUCAAAUGAAUUGACGGGGGCCCGCACAAGCGGUGGAGCAUGUGGUUUAAUUCGAUGCAACGCGAAGAACCUUACCUGGUCUUGACAUCCACAGAAGAAUCCAGAGAUGGAUUUGUGCCUUCGGGAACUGUGAGACAGGUGCUGCAUGGCUGUCGUCAGCUCGUGUUGUGAAAUGUUGGGUUAAGUCCCGCAACGAGCGCAACCCUUAUCCUUUGUUGCCAGCGGUCCGGCCGGGAACUCAAAGGAGACUGCCAGUGAUAAACUGGAGGAAGGUGGGGAUGACGUCAAGUCAUCAUGGCCCUUACGACCAGGGCUACACACGUGCUACAAUGGCGCAUACAAAGAGAAGCGACCUCGCGAGAGCAAGCGGACCUCAUAAAGUGCGUCGUAGUCCGGAUUGGAGUCUGCAACUCGACUCCAUGAAGUCGGAAUCGCUAGUAAUCGUGGAUCAGAAUGCCACGGUGAAUACGUUCCCGGGCCUUGUACACACCGCCCGUCACACCAUGGGAGUGGGUUGCAAAAGAAGUAGGUAGCUUAACCUUCGGGAGGGCGCUUACCACUUUGUGAUUCAUGACUGGGGUGAAGUCGUAACAAGGUAACCGUAGGGGAACCUGC
RNAcentral lists this ribosomal RNA (1438 nucleotides) under Salmonella enterica subsp. enterica serovar Brunei. Its description in RNAcentral is "bacterial SSU rRNA". It matches the Rfam family "Bacterial small subunit ribosomal RNA". Lineage: Bacteria; Pseudomonadati; Pseudomonadota; Gammaproteobacteria; Enterobacterales; Enterobacteriaceae. The record is from RNAcentral.